AGAGUUUGAUCAUGGCUCAGGACGAACGCUGGCGGCGCGCCUAACACAUGCAAGUCGAACGAGAGAGAGGGAGCUUGCUUCCUCGAUCGAGUGGCGAACAGGUGAGUAACGCGUGAGGAACCUGCCUCAAAGAGGGGGACAACAGUUGGAAACGACUGCUAAUACCGCAUAAGCCCACGGCUCGGCAUCGAGCAGAGGGAAAAGGAGCAAUCCGCUUUGAGAUGGCCUCGCGUCCGAUUAGCUAGUUGGUGAGGUAACGGCCCACCAAGGCGACGAUCGGUAGCCGGACUGAGAGGUUGAACGGCCACAUUGGGACUGAGACACGGCCCAGACUCCUGCGGGAGGCAGCA
Molecule: ribosomal RNA, 350 nt
Filed under: uncultured bacterium
Lineage: Bacteria
Description: bacterial SSU rRNA
Rfam family: Bacterial small subunit ribosomal RNA
Source: RNAcentral